Molecule: ribosomal RNA, 433 nt
Filed under: uncultured bacterium
Lineage: Bacteria
Description: partial 16S ribosomal RNA
Rfam family: Bacterial small subunit ribosomal RNA
Source: RNAcentral
AACGAACGCUGGCGGCAGGCCUAACACAUGCAAGUCGAGCGCGCCCUUCGGGGUGAGCGGCGGACGGGUGAGUAACGCGUGGGAACGUGCCCUUUUCUACGGAAUAGCCUCGGGAAACUGCGCGUAAUACCGUAUACGCCCUUUGGGGGAAAGAUUUAUCGGAAAAGGAUCGGCCCGCGUUGGAUUAGGUAGUUGGUGGGGUAAUGGCCUACCAAGCCGACGAUCCAUAGCUGGUUUGAGAGGAUGAUCAGCCACACUGGGACUGAGACACGGCCCAGACUCCUACGGGAGGCAGCAGUGGGGAAUCUUAGACAAUGGGGGCAACCCUGAUCGAGCCAUGCCGCGUGAGUGAUGAAGGCCUUAGGGUUGUAAAGCUCUUUCAGCUGGGAAGAUAAUGACGGUACCAGCAGAAGAAGCCCCGGCUAACUCCGUG